RNAcentral lists this ribosomal RNA (780 nucleotides) under uncultured Neocallimastigales. RNAcentral describes it as "partial large subunit ribosomal RNA". It matches the Rfam family "Eukaryotic large subunit ribosomal RNA", at positions 24 to 639 of the family's 3401-position model. The record is from RNAcentral. Lineage: Eukaryota; Fungi; Neocallimastigomycota; Neocallimastigomycetes; Neocallimastigales.
UACGACUACAUAUCAGGCAUAUCAAUAAGCGGAGGAAAAGAAACUAACAAGGAUUCCCCUAGUAACGGCGAGUGAAGCGGGAAGAGCUCAAAUUUGAAAUCUUCAAGGUUUUACCUUGACGAAUUGUAGUUUAAAGAAGUGUUUUCUGUUGGUGAAUUUUGGUAAAAGUUCUUUGGAAUAGGACAUCAUAGAGGGUGAGAAUCCCGUAUUUGACCAUUACUUCCAGCUGUUGUGAUACAGCUUUCAAAGAGUCGGAUUGUUUAGGGAAUGCAGUCCAAAAUGGGUGGUAAAUUUCAUCUAAAGCUAAAUAUUGGCGAGAGACCGAUAGCGAACAAGUACCGUGAGGGAAAGAUGAAAAGAACUUUGAAAAGAGAGUUAAACAGUACGUGAAAUUGUCAAAAGGGAAGCGUUUGACACCAGUGUUGUUUUUCUCGAAAAUCAAUUAAAAAUUUGUUCAUGCUAAGUUGUAUUGACUUCAUCGGCUUUCUGCUUAGUUUUGGGCUUCUUUUUGAUGCACUUUUCGGUUAACAAGUCAACAUCAAUUUCUUUUGCUGUAAAAGGGUAAGAGGAAGGUGGCUUUAAUUUCGGUUAAAGUGUUUAUAGCCUUUUACCUCUGCAGUCGGAGAGAUUGAGGUCUGCAGCGUAGAUCCUUCGGGGCUAGAUACGUUUGUGCUAAGUUAUAGCUUUGUAUAGACCGCAUGUUGACUAUGCUCAGUCUUGUAGCUUACUCGCAGAUAGUAUUUUACCUACGCUUAGGAUGUUGACGCGCGUGUGUGCGUG